This 470-nucleotide ribosomal RNA is filed under the name Granulicatella adiacens. Its description in RNAcentral is "bacterial SSU rRNA". It matches the Rfam family "Bacterial small subunit ribosomal RNA", at positions 28 to 479 of the family's 1533-position model. Lineage: Bacteria; Bacillati; Bacillota; Bacilli; Lactobacillales; Carnobacteriaceae. The record is from RNAcentral.
GACGAACGCUGGCGGCGUGCCUAAUACAUGCAAGUCGAACGAGAGCGACCGGUGCUUGCACUGGUCAAUCUAGUGGCGAACGGGUGAGUAACACGUGGGUAACCUGCCCAUCAGAGGGGGAUAACAUCCGGAAACGGAUGCUAAAACCGCAUAGGUCCUUUAACCGCAUGGUUGAAGGAGGAAAAGAGGCGCAAGCUUCUGCUGAUGGAUGGACCCGCGGUGCAUUAGCUAGUUGGUGAGGUAACGGCUCACCAAGGCCGUGAUGCAUAGCCGACCUGAGAGGGUGAUCGGCCACAUUGGGACUGAGACACGGCCCAAACUCCUACGGGAGGCAGCAGUAGGGAAUCUUCCGCAAUGGACGCAAGUCUGACGGAGCAACGCCGCGUGAGUGAAGAAGGUUCUCGGAUCGUAAAACUCUGUUGUUAGAGAAGAACAAGUGCUAGAGUAAACUGUAGCGCCUUGACGGAUUU